AUAUAUCACUACUGUAAGUCACUCUGGAUAAGAGCGUCUGCUAAAUGACGUAAA
Salmo salar (Atlantic salmon) is the source of this 54-nucleotide non-coding RNA. NCBI's taxonomy places the organism in Eukaryota, Metazoa, Chordata, Actinopteri, Salmoniformes, Salmonidae. The record is from Rfam.